CAAAAACGAAGAUCUGAACGCGGA
This 24-nucleotide non-coding RNA is filed under the name Cricetulus griseus (Chinese hamster). The record is from RNAcentral. Lineage: Eukaryota; Metazoa; Chordata; Mammalia; Rodentia; Cricetidae.